RNAcentral lists this ribosomal RNA (436 nucleotides) under uncultured bacterium. Its description in RNAcentral is "bacterial SSU rRNA". It matches the Rfam family "Bacterial small subunit ribosomal RNA", at positions 1062 to 1505 of the family's 1533-position model. The record is from RNAcentral.
GUGUCGUGAGAUGUUGGGUUAAGUCCCGCAACGAGCGCAACCCUCGUCGUUAGUUGCUAACAGUUCGGCUGAGAACUCUAACGAGACUGCCUACGCAAGUAGGAGGAAGGUGAGGACGACGUCAAGUCAUCAUGGCCCUUACGACCAGGGCUACACACGUGCUACAAUGGGGUAUACAAAGAGCAGCGAUACGGUGACGUGGAGCAAAUCUCAAAAAUAUCUCCCAGUUCGGAUAGUAGUCUGCAACUCGACUACUUGAAGUUGGAAUCGCUAGUAAUCGUAGAUCAGCUAUGCUACGGUGAAUACGUUCCCGGGUCUUGUACUCACCGCCCGUCACACCAUGGGAGUUGAACUCAUUCGAAGCGGGGAUGCUAAGGUAGCUACCCUCCACAGUGGAUUCAGCGACUGGGGUGAAGUCGUAACAAGGUAACCGUAA